Molecule: ribosomal RNA, 494 nt
Filed under: uncultured bacterium
Lineage: Bacteria
Description: partial 16S ribosomal RNA
Rfam family: Bacterial small subunit ribosomal RNA
Source: RNAcentral
GACGAACGCUGGCGGCGCGCUUAACACAUGCAAGUCGAACGGAAAGGCCUGCUUUCCCUUGUGUGUUGCGGGUACUCGAGUGGCGAACGGAUGAGUAACACGUGAGUGAUCUGCCCCCAACUUGGGUAUAAGCCUGGGAUACUGGGUCUAAUUACCGCUAGGUCUGCAGGGUGGUGCCGGUGGUGGAAGACGCUUUUCUAGUGGUUGGGGAUGAGCUGGUGGCCUAUCAGGUUGUUGGUGGGGUAAUGUCCUACCAAGGCGGGGACGGGUAGGCGGGCUGGGGGGGUCGACAGGCGCAUUGGGACUGAGAUACGGCCCAGACGCCAACGGGAGGCAGCAGUGGGGAAUCAUGCGCGGUGAGCGGAAGCCAGAGGCAGCGAGGCCGCGUGGGGGACGACGGCCUUCGGAUUGUAAGCUGCGUGCGACCGAGAGGAAGCCACCGGGUUGGAAGGGGGGUGACGGUAGUGGUAGAAGAAGCACCGGCUAACUACGUG